RNAcentral lists this ribosomal RNA (512 nucleotides) under uncultured bacterium. Its description in RNAcentral is "partial 16S ribosomal RNA". It matches the Rfam family "Bacterial small subunit ribosomal RNA", at positions 28 to 523 of the family's 1533-position model. The record is from RNAcentral.
GACGAACGCUGGCGGCGUGCCUAAUACAUGCAAGUCGAGCGGAUCUUCAUUAGCUUGCUUUUGAAGAUCAGCGGCGGACGGGUGAGUAACACGUGGGCAACCUGCCUGUAAGACUGGGAUGACUCCGGGAAACCGGAGCUAAUACCGGAUAAUCCUUUUCCUCUCAGGAGGAAAAGCUGAAAGGCGGUUUCAGCUGUCACUUACAGAUGGGCCCGGGGCGAAUUAGCUAGUUGGUGAGGUAACGGCUCACCAAGGCGACGAUGCGUAGCCGACCUGAGAGGGUGAUCGGCCACACUGGGACUGAGACACGGCCCAGACUCCUACGGGAGGCAGCAGUAGGGAAUCUUCCGAAAUGGACGAAAGUCUGACGGAGCAACGCCGCGUGAGCGAUGAAGGCCUUCGGGUCGUAAAGCUCUGUUGUCAGGGAAGAACAAGUAUCGGAGUAACUGCCGGUACCUUGACGGUACCUGACCAGAAAGCCACGGCUAACUACGUGCCAGCCGCCGCCGUAA